This is a long non-coding RNA of Oncorhynchus mykiss (rainbow trout), 1297 nucleotides long. RefSeq lists it as uncharacterized. Lineage: Eukaryota; Metazoa; Chordata; Actinopteri; Salmoniformes; Salmonidae. The record is from RefSeq and is a predicted model, not a curated record.
UAGGCUACCCUGCCACCCCAUAAAGUGUAAAGGAGGGGAAAUAACUCACACCAUGCAGCAGGACACCUUCAGCUGUGGGGUCUUUAUAAUGCAGGUUUGAUAGUUAUAUUUUCAAUAAUGAAUGGUUAGCUGUUAUGUGACAAUUAGGUAAAAAAAACUAUUUUAUUUUUUGGUGUAGAUGGCCAAGGAAGUUGCACAGAACUUCCCCAACAUCCCCUCCCAAAUUCAUAUGGAACCUUCAAAAACAUAUGGAGCAACUGCGAAAAGAAAUGGCUGAGGAUAUUCAAAAAAUGUCUGAGUUCAACAAAGCCAACAACUGCUUCAUGUGUGCCACUGAUAAAGAACCUGGAUAUGGCCCAAAGACUGACUGGGUUAAUCUUUUGACAACAGUGAUGGCAUAUUGAAUGUUUGCAUGCCAACGGUGGUUCCAUGUGCUGUAACUAGGAAUGAAGACAAAACAGUUCAACAGAGUAAAGAACACAAACUGGAAGUACAGUCUUUGUUGUUGAAAAUGUAUGCUAUACCCCAUCCACACUGAAGAGGCUCUGAAAUGUACAUCAACCAGGGAUAAAGAGAAAGUUAACACUGUGAAAUGUUUCAUACUUAUUUGAAGUUAAGUGUCUGUUGACAUGUUGGAAAGACUAAAGGUCUACAAUUUCUGUUUAAUUUGUCAAUAUUAUAUUUUUAUUAAUUGCUUUACUGGCCACCAUUACCAUGGUUACAUGUUCAGUAUAUGUAUUGACCAGCCUACCUCACUAGCUCACUCUCCAUCCCUGCUUUGGACAAUUAAUAGCAUGACUCUCGUACUUUGCUCUUUUCCUUUAUAGUUGAUAUUAACGAUGAAAGGAGAUAUUAUCUGUCUCUCUCCUAUUGUUGUUAGCUGUUAAAUACUGUGGAAAAAUAAAAAAAACUGGGAAAAUAAGUACUUAACUACCAAUUUGUAUAGAUAAAUAUUAAAGAAAAGGGUAAACACAACACUGGACUGACCCCCCUAAUUAUCAAACUAAUAUUAAUGUACAACAAUAUAGAAGAGACAUACGAGGUUAUGCAUUAUGGGUGUAUAUCCACUGCACGCUUCUUAGGUGUGUAAUUGAUAUGACCAAGGAGCUAUUGAUAUUUAAAACUGAAAAAUGUACAUUAAACCGCGUUAUUGUACAGUACACAAACAAGUGUGCAAUACAGAAGGGUACAUUCUGCACCACGUUUGAAGUAAGUAGGUCACAUGACCAAGGAGCUAUUUAAAUUUGGAAAAAUUCAUGUAAAAUGAGAUGAAAAUGGAAAAUGGACUAACUAAAGG